GAACCGAGAGGAGCAGCUGGGACGCCGGAGACACCGAAACAGGAGAGAGGAAGAGAAAAGAUAGAGACUGAGAAUCGGAGGAGGCAGAGAAACGAACAGAGGAGAGAGAAGGAUAGAAAGGGGAACAGUUGAUUCAAAGGAAACCCCGCCAUGGCAGUGCCUUGGCACCGGCUGCGACCCUCUCCUCUGGUACCCGGAAAGGGUCUUCGGCUCCACUUCUGCCCCCGGCCGGGAGCUGCCGGCCGCCCGGGGCGGAACCUGAGAGUGUUGGCCCAGGAGGUCCUCGACAUCUGGGGACCCCUCUCCAUCCCAGUCCCCGUCAGCAGACCAAGUUAGAAUCCAGCCUGCCUGGCUCUUAGCUGUGUCGUGACCUUGGGCAAGUCACCCCAGUCCUGGAGAUCCCACGAACUGUGUGCAUCUUGGAUGGAAGUGUCAUGCUGCUCCCCUCAGGCAAAGACACCCAGGCCAAGACCAUUUCCUGCCCUGAAACUUGGGGCUCUCUGAGGAGAAAGCUUGGUGUACCUCGAGUUGUCCGAGGAUGGGCACCUUGACAAGACUAGGGACGAGUGAUGAAGGUGGAUUUUUGUCCUCCAGAAACUCCCAAGGGUUUCUUCCUUCUCCCAGCUUCCUUCCCAGCACCAAGUUUUCCAUUUUGCCUUCUGAUUUUGUAUAUUUUACUCCCACCCAAAAAAAACAAAAGGAAGGGCCCAAAACACGGUCUAAGAAAAAGUGGCCUGUUCUCAAAGCCUGAAAAAUCACAUUUUUCUGACCUUUUGGAUUCAUUUCUGCAAGGACUUAUUGGGACCAAAUACAACAUUUUCUGUAGAAAAUACCUGCUUCGGGAGGGAUCUGUUAUGCCCGGUGGCCCUUCCAUCUCUGUCUCACCUGGACUGGGAGCUCUUCAAGGAAACUUCCAGAUUGGGGGCUUCCUUUCAGCAGGGAUGAUGGGAAGUCUUUUGAUAAACUGCGAUGAUUUCCAGGCUGCCCCCCCACCCGCUGAUGUACACACUGUUGGCUGCUCUUCUGGAAAAUGGGGAUUAAGCUACGGACAGAGACACAAUCCCUGUAGUCAGUGAGUUUCCAGCCUUCCUCUGGGAAGUGUGGGAAAUGCUGAUGCCCACCUCAAGGGGUUCUGAGAGAUUCUGAUGAGAUAAUACAAGUAAAAUGCUUAGGCUGGGCUCGAGCACACAGCGAAUGCCCAAUCAGUGUUUUAUAUGUUCGGGGGUGGGGGGUGGUGUUUGAAAGAGCAUCUGUGGCUCAGGAUUUUGACAACCACACUACCAAGAUGCUGGAAAGCAGGUGCUGGGGGGAAAUAGGGUGAGGAGAAAUGCAAGAAUUCUAGAAUGCUGGUCAUGUCCCCAUGUCAGUUUGGUUUAGCUCAGGGUGUUUUUCCACAUCACUUAUUAGGCAAACUUUUAAAAUGAGAAACUGACAUUCCCUUGCAGAGGCCGAGGGAGGAACUAGAAAGAUUUCGUUUCGCUCCACAGUCAGGCCUGUGAGGCAGAGAGCCCUCCAAACAUGGCAGCUUUGGUAUCGUUCGUUUUUUUUUUUUUUUUUUUUUCUGUUUUAUGUAUUGGAAUUACGUAUAAUAUGUAAAUAUAAAAUUAUGUAUAAAACCUU
Leopardus geoffroyi (Geoffroy's cat) is the source of this 1620-nucleotide long non-coding RNA. RefSeq lists it as uncharacterized. The record is from RefSeq and is a predicted model, not a curated record. The transcript is spliced from 3 exons. NCBI's taxonomy places the organism in Eukaryota, Metazoa, Chordata, Mammalia, Carnivora, Felidae.